GAUGAAGAACGUAGCGAAAUGCGAUAAGUAAUGUGAAUUGCAGAAUUCAGUGAAUCAUCGAAUCUUUGAACGCACCUUGCACCCUUUGGCAUUCCGAAGGGUAUGCUCGUUUGAGUGUCAUUGUACUCUCACACUCUCCGAUCCUAUGGAUUCGGGGAGCGGUGGACUUGGGUGUUGCUGCCUUUCCUUGUGGCUCACCUCAAAUGUGUCAGUGCACCUCUUGGUUGGACAUAGUACGGCGUGAUAAGUGUCUUCGCCGGCACCUCGCAAGAGGGUGGCCGAUCGGGAGCUCUGCGCUUUCAAACCGUCUUCGGACAAUUUCUGACAACUUGACCUCAAAUCGAGUAGGACUACCCGCUGAACUUAAGCAUAUCAAUAAGCGGAGGA
RNAcentral lists this unclassified non-coding RNA (387 nucleotides) under soil metagenome. Its description in RNAcentral is "partial contains 5.8S ribosomal RNA, internal transcribed spacer 2, and large subunit ribosomal RNA". The stretch from base 1 to 120 matches the Rfam family "5.8S ribosomal RNA", at positions 35 to 154 of the family's 154-position model. The record is from RNAcentral.